This 593-nucleotide ribosomal RNA is filed under the name uncultured bacterium. Its description in RNAcentral is "bacterial SSU rRNA". It matches the Rfam family "Bacterial small subunit ribosomal RNA", at positions 338 to 950 of the family's 1533-position model. The record is from RNAcentral.
CCUACGGGAGGCAGCAGUGGGGAAUAUUGGACAAUGGGCGAAAGCCUGAUCCAGCAAUGCCGCGUGAGUGAUGAAGGCCUUAGGGUUGUAAAGCUCUUUUACCAGGGAUGAUAAUGACAGUACCUGGAGAAUAAGCUCCGGCUAACUCCGUGCCAGCAGCCGCGGUAAUACGGAGGGAGCUAGCGUUGUUCGGAAUUACUGGGCGUAAAGCGCGCGUAGGCGGCGAUUCAAGUCAGAGGCGAAAGCCCGGGGCUCAACCCCGGAACUGCCUUUGAAACUAGAUUGCUAGAAUCUUGGAGAGGUCAGUGGAAUUCCGAGUGUAGAGGUGAAAUUCGUAGAUAUUCGGAAGAACACCAGUGGCGAAGGCGACUGACUGGACAAGUAUUGACGCUGAGGUGCGAAAGCGUGGGGAGCAAACAGGAUUAGAUGCCCUGGUAGUCCACGCCGUAAACGAUGAUAACUAGCUGUCCGGGCACUUGGUGCUUGGGUGGCGCAGCUAACGCAUUAAGUUAUCCGCCUGGGGNGUACGGUCGCAGAUAAACUACAAGAAGUAGACGCGNGAGACGUGCCGACGACGACGACGAGGGAGUAGG